GCCCUAGUAGCUUAACCUUAAAGCACUGGUCUUGUAAGCCAGAGAUGAGGACAUACCUCCUAAGACA
This 67-nucleotide transfer RNA is filed under the name Phoenicolacerta kulzeri (common Eurasian lizard). Its description in RNAcentral is "tRNA-Thr". It matches the Rfam family "tRNA". Rfam says of the family: Transfer RNA (tRNA) molecules are approximately 80 nucleotides in length. Their secondary structure includes four short double-helical elements and three loops (D, anti-codon, and T loops). Lineage: Eukaryota; Metazoa; Chordata; Lepidosauria; Squamata; Lacertidae. The record is from RNAcentral.